GGGGUACCAAUUAUUUGUAAAUAUAAAUAGACCUUUCUAGAGCUUAUUUUCACCCGUAAAAAUCAUUUCACCAGUUUCUUUCCAUGAAUACCGAGAGAAAACGAGCGGUGUUCUUCGUGUUCUUCAUAAUCAAACGCAGAUUUGGAGGUGUUAUUGGAAUCCGAUGGAGGCGUAUGAAUAGUCAAAACGAAGCUAUCGACGUGUAGAUUAUAGUUUAAUCAUUCGUUUGUGUGCAGAUUCAACAGGUAAAUUACUAUUAAUUGUUGAAAAUUCGAGUUAUAUUGAUUUGAAAUAUGAAUUUUUGCAAACGUGGUUGUUUGAUUGUUUUGAUGAUUCCAUGUUGUAGAACGUGUUUUUCUCGUCGUUUUGGUAUAUUAUAUGUUGAUUUUUGAGUUCCAUAACACCUAUAAAAAGGGGUUUGAUUCUUGGAGUUGUGUUCUUGGAGGUUAUGAAUGUUCUUAAUCGAAUUUGGGCGUUUCUUUGUUAUUGAUUCUGGGUUGUUCUUGGUUAUACCAUUAGAAAGGUCUAGUUACAAGGAGCUUGUAGGUGUCUUCAAAACUAGCAAAGGAGGUCGGAAUCAAACGCCGGAAUCUGGAGAAGACUCGCCGGCGGCGAGAUUUCUCCGAGAUUUUCCGGACAAAUUACGCAUCCUUUGCUAAUUCUGAUGGUAUAGAUCGAUUCCUGGCAGUAAAAUCUUGUGAUCUGGAGGUUUUGGUGCGUGUUGAAGCGCUGUAGCGCCGUUUCCGGCGAAUCAACGGCGGCUGGGGGGUGCCGCUGCGAAAAUUGCAAUUAGGUCCCCCUAGUUGUGAAGAUGAUGAAGGUUUGACACUGGAGUUUGAUUAUUGACAUUCUAGCUCUCGAACUUUUGAAAGUUUACACCUGGCACCCUGCCAGACAAUUUCAGUAUGUUUACAUUUUAAACCUUCUCAAAUUUAUUUCAAAAAAAUUCAUUUUAGUGAUUUAUUUUAAUUUCAAAAAUAGUUUUUAAUUAUUUCUUUAUUCAAAAAUAAAUCUAAUUUGAUUUAUUAAUUAAUUUUAAUUAGUAAUUAAUUAUUUUAAUUGGUCAAUUAAUUUAAAUAUUAAUUGAUUAAUUAAUUUAAUUAAUUGUUAAUUGAUUUUAAUUGAUUAAUUAAUUGGAUUUAAUUAAUCCUUUUUAAUUUAAAAAUUUCGAAAAAUAGUUUCGAGCUUUAAAAUAUUUUUCCAAAUUAUUUUCAAGGCUCGAUAAUUGUUUAUGAAUGAUUUCAAGUCCAAUUUCAAGUAUUUGGGACUUGAUUAUUUAUUCGAAAAGUGAUUCUUUUAUCGAUUUUAAUUCCGAAAAAUGUUUAAAAAUUCUGGAAAAUUCCCGAAAAAUCAUUUUUAACCCAAGACUUGAUUUAAUAUCAAUUGGGAUGGGAAACCUUAUGUGUUGUGUGUUGUCUGCUAUGGGUUGGAUGUGUUAUGUGCCGAUAUAAGAGUGAGAAAACGGUUUUAAACAUAUCUUUUGAUCCGUAAGUCGGAAUCAAGUGAAACGAAAGAGAGAUAGAAGCUCGUGAAGCCUAUUUCAAUAUGACAUGAUAAUAUGGUGGAGUCAAGAAUGUGAUGAGGUGUUGUUAAAUAUGUAGAAUGUGAUAAUAUGUGAUCUAAUUGUUAUUAAGUGAUGAUUACGUGAUAUACGUGUUUAUUCAUGAUAUUAUACACAUGUGAUAAACGAUUUGAGUGACAUAGUAUCAUGAUUCGUAUGAUUGAUAUUGAAUAAGAACAUGUGGAUUAUAGGAAUUGGAAUUGGUUGAUUAGUUGUCAGGUGGAUAGUCUUAUACAUAGACGAGACGAUGUCGGAUUUUCGAUAAGGAUUUAUAUGAUAAUUGAUUGGUGAUAUGUUAUGUGGAAUAUGAUUGACUAUAUGUUAGAGUCAAAGCAUGCUUAUGUGUUACGUGGUAUCUGAUAAGUUUAAAGGGAUAUAUAAGUGGGUAUUGAUAUACGUGAGAUGUAUAUGCGAUCGAUUGUUUAGUGAUUAUAGUGUUAUCUUAUUCUCGUAAAGGAUUUGGACGAGACGUGUAUGCCCGAAGACGUUCAGAAAGUCACGUGGUGUUACAAAGCGAAUAAGGGAUGAAUCGAGUAAGCGAAGCGAAGAUGUACGGUAGAUAGAGUAUAGCCAGAGAUGGUCUAGAGACUAUGAGAUGCAUAGAUUGUGAAAGUGGAAAGAUGAGAUUGAGAUGUGAGACUGGAGUCAGAUUUAAGGCAAGUAUCCUGCACCCUGCUUUUGGAUAUAUUGCAAAUAUUCUGAUUCAUUCUUUUGAUGUGUUGCAAGUAUCCUAAACCUUUCUCUUGGAUAUAUUGCAAAUAUUCUGAUUCAUUCCUUUGGUAUAUGUUUCAAGUAUUCAUACCUUUCUUUUCAAUGUUCGAAAGUGCGAGUAUUCUGACCCAUUCUUUCUAAUCUUCAAGUUUCUAAAGAAUUUCCGUUUUACAAAUUAAUUCGAAGUUCAGAUUGUCAUUGAAGCAUGUGUUGCUCAGUGAUAGUUAGAGCUUUGAAUGAAUUGGGAUCUUCUUGAUUAUUCAACCCGCCAUUGUCAUGCUGGUUUAGCAGGCUAAAUUCAGUUGCUUAGCCGAUAAUGGAGGAUACUGAAUAGUUGAGGAUUUCCUGAACUGUGAUUUAUGAAAUGAUGGAUCAUAAUUUAUGAAUAGAUUAUUAUCAAAGUUUGAUUUGGAAUUAUUCUGUUGUUGAUGAUAUUUAUGAUGAUGUUCUGUUGAUUUACACUGACCUGUUAAACUGAAUUAGAGAAUUGGAUUAUUGUUUUUAUAUAAACCUGUGGACCAGAUUCGUGGUCAUGUUAGGCCAAUGAGUGCCUUGGAUCCAGUGAUAGAGCAUGGCGGGGCCUGCUCGGGGUUAGGUAUGACUGAUCAGCAUCCUAACCUUGGUUUUUAAUUAAAAUGUGAUAGUCCAAUUCAAUAAUUCUCUUGUGAAGGAUUGAAUUCCUCAGGUUUCUAUUGCUGCAAGGUAUUGUGAUUCUUUUAUACAAUACCUGAAUUUGUGAACUCAGGUUGAAUCUUUUUAUAUCUUGAACUCGAGAAUUUCUGUUAUAUCAUUUCAGAACUUUCAUUGUUUAUUACUACUUGCUGAGCAUUGUUGCUCACUCUUGCUAUUCUCUUUUAACCAUUUCAGAAAGGAUUAAAGAUGAAUGGCUAGUCUAUGAUUGCGAGUAAAGUUAAGGCUAGGCGGAGGAGUCGAGAGGUGUUAAGGAUCCAGUGGUCGAGAAGUGUCCAGGAAGAUUGAUAAGGUUGAUGCUAGCUCGAGUUGUGCUAUUGAGAUUCAGAUGUAAGUCAUAGCUGGAAUAGUUGACAGUGAUUCUUCUUAUCGAAGAUGAUCUGAUUUGGUAAGAGAUGUUGGGUAAUAAUAGUGGUUGAUUCUAAUUUCAAUACUGUAACCUGGAAGCGAUCCUGUUGUUUUGGGGGUGAAGAUGUUCUCUUUCAAAUCUUUCAUUUAACGUCUUUCAGAUCUUUUAUUAUGGCUUUCAAGUUUGAAUUU
This 3502-nucleotide long non-coding RNA is filed under the name Daucus carota (carrot). Its description in RNAcentral is "long non-coding RNA (DCAR_LNC002104)". Lineage: Eukaryota; Viridiplantae; Streptophyta; Magnoliopsida; Apiales; Apiaceae. The record is from RNAcentral.